Molecule: RNA transcript, 1428 nt
Organism: Alosa alosa (allis shad)
Lineage: Eukaryota; Metazoa; Chordata; Actinopteri; Clupeiformes; Clupeidae
Gene: srsf7a
Gene name: serine and arginine rich splicing factor 7a
Exons: 9
Source: RefSeq, a predicted model, not a curated record
GACUGCGGUGGCGCGCGGAAGUACCUUAAAAGGAAGCAAGUCAUUCUGCUGCUGGCGCUGGUUGCUUGGUUGCGCACUGCGAGAUUAGGUGUGCGACAUUUGCAGUAACCUCGCGCUAAUUAUCUGCAACUGAACACGGAACUGGGUGUUCAAACGGAGGACGAUGUCUUACUACUCAUCAUCCCGAAGUUCCUCUCGGAACUUGGAAUGUAAAGUUUAUGUUGGAGACUUGGGUAAUGGAGCUGCAAAAGGCGAAUUAGAGCGGGCGUUCAGCUACUAUGGCCCCCUGCGCAGCGUCUGGGUGGCCAGGAACCCUCCAGGAUUUGCGUUUGUGGAAUAUGAAGACUCCCGUGACGCUGAGGAUGCUGUGAAGGGCAUGGAUGGAAAAGUACUUUGUGGAUCACGCAUACGGGUGGAGCUGUCUACAGGUUUGUCCCGGAAGUCUCGUUAUGGUCGACCUGGCCGCCGCUCUUUUGACCCAAAUGAUCGAUGCUACCAGUGUGGUGAUCGGGGGCACUAUGCCUAUGACUGCUACCGUUUCAGCAAGCGGGGAGGCAGUCGUCGCAGCAGGUCCCGUUCCAGAUCCAGGUCUCGCUCUAGGUCCAGGGGACGAAGGUACCGCUCGCGGUCUCGCAGUCGUAGCAAUGAAAGGAGGUACCGGUCACCAUCUUACUCCAGGCGCCGUAGCAGGUCUGCCUCUCCAGCACGAUCUAAGUCUAGGACUCCAGUACGGAGUCGUUCGCGUUCUCGCUCACGGUCUGCGUCACGUCCACGUGGUCGAUCUGCAUCCCGCUCCCGCUCCAGGUCACGCACCCCAAGUGCUAAGAGAAACAGAGUGUGGGAGUCGACGGCUCAAGCACUGACCAGGGUUCAUCCUUGCUGUGUAAAACGUCCUUCGGGAGGGUGAGAAAAUGCCCUGAGAUCAGCCUCCGCCAUGGUGGUUUCAUGAGGUCGUCCGACGCACGUUCUGACCAAGACGCUCCUAUCUGCACACACACACAGUUGUUCCACCUACCCCAUCCCCUCCCAGAAAUCCAUGCACUACUACUACCGACUACCACAUCUACUGCAAACCAGUGCUACGCUGAGAGAGAGCUCAGUCGACCAGUUAUGGCCCCCCACACCUUCAAAUCUGCGGCCUCAAUGCUUAGCUUCUCUGAGGGUGUGUGUGAGAGAGAGAGAAAGAGGGAAAGGAGAGCUGACGAGAGAUCAGACUUCAAGACCCUCCGAGUGUGUCUUCAAGUUCUAGCAUCCGUCGCUUCUCUGUACAUGUUGUUUCUGCCACUGUCUUCAAAGCCGUUCCCGCUCUCCCAGCCCGAAAAAGAGCCCCACUCCUGGAACAGACUGAGAUGAAACCUAACCCAAACCCCCUAUCUCCCUCUUCUUUUUUUUCCAAAGCUGUCUUCCCCCCUAAGGACUACUGUUUGU